AUCACUGAAAUGUUGAUGUCAUGCCUGGCUUGGAAGUGGUUUCUGCGUUGGUGCUGGGACAGCUUCGCUUUAAUUGGGGGAGGGGGAGGGGUGGAGGAGCCCCUUUAUCAGAAUUCUCACGAGAAUUCACCCCUUUUCUCCUUCCAGCAGGGCCACCUAGGGCGCCAUGGGGGGGGGCGGUCCCCAGUCACAACUCCUGGUCUUUCUCUCUGGCCCUGGGCCUCCACCCAGCUGGCAUCCUUCAAAACUGAGAUAGUAAGGAGUGGGGUGAGAGUUCAGUGGCACUUUUGUCCCCGUGUGCUUGGGACUGGGGGAUCUUGAGACCUGACAGGACCCUGUGUAGAUGGUGAGCUCUGGGCUGCCCUAGGGGCUUUUCCUGCAGCCUCUGGAGAACUCUCCUGAGUAGCUUGGAGUAGUAGGAGGGCAGCCAGCUGCAAAGGUCCACCUGAGCGCAAGUUGGAAAACUCACCUCCACCCCAGCACCGCUGCCCACAGGGCCAGUCCUAAGGAAAGCCUUGGAAAUAAAUACCAUAUGCUGUCUCCAGGGACCAGCCCUUCUUGGCUUCUGUUUGUACAUAGUGGAGGCCUGAGAACAGGAAGAUAGUUCUGUAUGUGUGCAUAUGUGUGCAUGUGUGUGCACCUGAGUGUGUGUGUGUGUGUCAGGGGUGUGUGUGUGGAUGUAAGGGGUGUGGUGUUGUAAGCUACCCCGGGAAUCUGGCUAACAGAAGACAGGGUGCACUCAGCUGGGGUAGGCUCUGCUGCAGUCUUCCCAGACUCAUCUGUUAGGAGGCACAGUGGGGUAGCCUCUCAGGGGCUGAGGGGUUGUGGAGAGGGCAGAAGUGAGAUAAUCAAGCGCUUAGCCUGGCAUGUAGUAUACACUCAGUAAAUGGAGACUAUUUAUAGUUUAACUCUAUGAGGGCUUUAGUCCCAAAGCCUGUUGUAUGCAACUGGUAGCAAAACAGAAUAGAAAUGGGGGUUGAGGCCCUUAUCCUCACACCCCUCCUUGGAGAGCCUGGGCAGAGAGAAGGAGGCUGGGCCAGGAUGCAUUGGGCAAGUUGAGUCUUCUGGGCCUCAGUUUCCUGCCUGACGUUUAAGAAGAAAUAGGGCUGGGGAUGCCUGUAGAGUCAAAAUUUAUAUUAAACAACUCUGUUCACAUGCUCCUGAAACCCAGUUGGCAAGCUCUGUUUUAAGGUGAGUGGGUCCUGCUGCCCCCAGGAGCAUGAGAAG
Molecule: long non-coding RNA, 1227 nt
Filed under: Marmota monax (woodchuck)
Lineage: Eukaryota; Metazoa; Chordata; Mammalia; Rodentia; Sciuridae
Source: RNAcentral